GCCGGGCAUGGUGGCGCACACCUGUAAUCCCAGCAGCUCGGGAGGCUGAGGCAGGAGGAUCUUGAGUUCAAAGCCAGCCUCAG
This 83-nucleotide small RNA is filed under the name Marmota monax (woodchuck). Lineage: Eukaryota; Metazoa; Chordata; Mammalia; Rodentia; Sciuridae. The record is from RNAcentral.